This 1110-nucleotide long non-coding RNA is filed under the name Crocodylus porosus (Australian saltwater crocodile). RNAcentral's name for it is "lncRNA (ENSCPRG00005016776.1)". Lineage: Eukaryota; Metazoa; Chordata; Crocodylia; Crocodylidae. The record is from RNAcentral.
CCCCACUCCUCUGCAUGUAUUUUCAUCCACAAUGAUGCUAUGUUAUGCUGCUUCAGGCUCCACUUCUGCAGGUGAUGCACCAGCCAAGCCCCUGGCUGCUAAAGGAAAGAGCAAUAGCAGGGAAGUCCUUGCUGGCCCUAGUAUUCCUGAGCUCAGUGUAAGUAAGAGUCCUUGAAGACAUCACCUCCCUGGCUGAGUCUGCAGAGCACGUGCAAACUGCAGCCUUGCAGAGGUGGUUAAGCUGAUCGACUCAUAGGUAGGCUGUUGCAGGGGAUGUCCUUAAUACCAGGUCAAGCCUGGUCUAGAUCUUUGGUCCUGAUCACGUACCUCCAAAGCAGAGAAGUGUAGAAAUCGGUCGGUCAGGCAGAAUUACGGUAACAAGGGUAAAACGGGCUUUAUCCUCUUGGUGUCAGCAGCAGCUAAAGCCUUUUGGCUGAGCGUUACCACACCUCCCCUCAGUGUGGGCAGGCACCCAGCACAGGAGACAGCUGCUCCUAGAAGGGCAGCGCCUUGGACUUCCCCCAGUCACUGAGCCACAGUAACUCGGCCAGCAACACAUCUGGGAACAUCUGCUCCGUGUUCCAGUUGCUUGGGAACUGAAACACAUUUCUGAUGCCAAGGAGGUUUCCCUAUCAACACAGACCAUUAAGCCUGUCCUGAGCGCAGUUUCCCUUAACUUGUCACCGCCUCAGAUUUCACGAGUUCUGUAUCCGAGGCUGGUGCAUUGUGGGGAAGAAGCAGACGUGUCCAUACUGCAAAGAGAAGGUGGACCUCAAGAGGAUGUUCAGCAACCCGUAUCCUUUUCUGGGCACUUCUUAGAUUAUUACAGUCUAUUCCUUGAAAAUAAGCUCUCCAGCAAAGCUAGUCUUGCAAUUAACCAGAAACCUGCUGUGGUUGUGGGAGAACCCCCUCUGUUCCAGUAGCAGCUUUGCCAGUAAUGCCGUGCAACCAGGCACUAGAGGGUAGGGCUAGGAUUCAGAGAGACCUUAACAAAUUGGAGCAUUGAACCAAAAGAAAUCUCAUGAGAUUCAACAAGGACAAGUGCAAAGUCCUGCACUUAAGAUGGAGUAAUCCCAUGCACCAGUGCAGGCUGGGGACUGACUGAUGGCA